UGGGGAAUCUUAGACAAUGGGCGCAAGCCUGAUCUAGCCAUGCCGCGUGAGCGAUGAAGGCCUUAGGGUUGUAAAGCUCUUUCAGGGGGGAAGAUAAUGACUGUACCCCCAGAAGAAGCCCCGGCUAACUCCGUGCCAGCAGCCGCGGUAAUACGGAGGGGGCUAGCGUUGUUCGGAAUUACUGGGCGUAAAGCGCACGUAGGCGGACUGGAAAGUUGGGGGUGAAAUCCCGGGGCUCAACCCCGGAACUGCCUUCAAAACUUCCGGUCUUGAGGUCGAGAGAGGUGAGUGGAAUUCCGAGUGUAGAGGUGAAAUUCGUAGAUAUUCGGAGGAACACCAGUGGCGAAGGCGGCUCACUGGCUCGAUACUGACGCUGAGGUGGGAAAGCGUGGGGAGCAAA
This 400-nucleotide ribosomal RNA is filed under the name uncultured bacterium. RNAcentral describes it as "bacterial SSU rRNA". It matches the Rfam family "Bacterial small subunit ribosomal RNA", at positions 355 to 772 of the family's 1533-position model. The record is from RNAcentral.